Molecule: ribosomal RNA, 248 nt
Filed under: Escherichia coli
Lineage: Bacteria; Pseudomonadati; Pseudomonadota; Gammaproteobacteria; Enterobacterales; Enterobacteriaceae
Also listed under: 1 other name
Description: partial 23S ribosomal RNA
Rfam family: Bacterial large subunit ribosomal RNA
Source: RNAcentral
GACGCAUCACUGGUGUUCGGGUUGUCAUGCCAAUGGCACUGCCCGGUAGCUAAAUGCGGAAGAGAUAAGUGCUGAAAGCAUCUAAGCACGAAACUUGCCCCGAGAUGAGUUCUCCCUGACUCCUUGAGAGUCCUGAAGGAACGUUGAAGACGACGACGUUGAUAGGCCGGGUGUGUAAGCGCAGCGAUGCGUUGAGCUAACCGGUACUAAUGAACCGUGAGGCUUAACCUUACAACGCCGAAGCUGUU